RNAcentral lists this long non-coding RNA (1435 nucleotides) under Homo sapiens (human). RNAcentral describes it as "novel transcript". The record is from RNAcentral. Lineage: Eukaryota; Metazoa; Chordata; Mammalia; Primates; Hominidae.
AGAGGCAUGACGGGAAGUGUGGUUUUUUUCUCCUAAUUUGAGCCCCACCUGUCCUUCCGCCGAUUGGCCCAGUGAGCUAAGAAAUCAGGAUGGGGGAGCAACUUUUGCAUUAAAUACAGCUCACAAAUGAUCUUUCCUGCCCAUUCUCAAACCAUGAAAUUUCCGCACUUCCUGAUAUAGAGGCCUCAGAAACAUCUUUGAUUCCUUUCUCCAGGGGCUUACUAAGCCCGUUGGUUCUACGUCUAUUAUUAAUUCUUUCAAUAAGUAUUUAUGAGGCCUGCUAUGUGACAGGCUCCAUACUUGGCACGGCGGAUAAAAAGAGGAAUAUGACACAGAUUGCAAAAGAGAAACAAGUAAACGGAAAUCAGAGCAUAGUGAUUGUGUAAUAUGUGUAGAGGCUGAUUUAAUCACAGGGAGCACAGAGGACGGUACCUAAAUCAGAAGGGAUCUGGGGAGGUUUCCUGGAAAAGGUUUCAACCAAAGCCAUAAAUGCUGAUGUGGAUAUCAGGACAGUGUUUCAAGCAAUUUAGAUACAAUAUAAAAUAUACUGAUGCCAUAGUAGAAGAAGUUGAAGCCACUUUGCCAAGAUAUUUGGUUCUGAUACAAAGGAAGUUUUUCUCGGCCUGGUCUUGACUUAACAGUGACUUUAGUACUAUCCUGUUCAGACACCUCAAGUCUUCAGAAGAAAGCAGAUGAUGUGAAAGUAUAUCUAGGUCCCCAAGAGAGAUGCAAAUUACCAGCUGUAUUCCCUCAUGUCAGGAAAAAGAGGGUCCCAUAUAUUUCUUGUCUAAUACAAAAUCGCAGAAGGCUGAAACACAUUAACUAGAAAAGAGAAUGCAAUUUGGAUUCAACUACCUGCUGUCAUGAAAGCUAGGUGACACUGAAGUGGUCAUUUAUAACUACGUUACUAUGGAGACAGGAAAGAUAUAUAUUUAUCCAAACCUGGGGAUGAAUUAAUCUUAAAAAGAUGAGUACAAGUACUUCAACAGAUGAGGACGAUCUGAAGGUUAGCUGUUUGCUUCAUGUGAAUAGGAGCAAAGCCCAAGGAGAGGACACCUUCACCCUCCAACCCUUCUGAGUAAAACGGAGAUCCUAUCCCUAAAGCAAGGCUCCAAGUCAAUGGGCCUGUGCACAAUAGAAGAACAUCUGGCCUCGGGGACACGUUUACCUCUAGGCAAAGAGCAGGAGCGCAGUAUUGAGUAUUGUUGUAAACAAUACCAUUUGGAAACCUGGUUCCGCUCCUGUGAGUCCAGCAAACGCCUCAAAGACGCCCUUUUAGGAUUUCUUUAAAUUAAUCUGAGACAACGUGGGAAUACUCUCUAUAUAGUAUCUAGCCUACUGGAUAUGUGGUUUUUGUUGUUGUUGUUGUUUGUUUUAUUUUUAUUUUUGGCACGGCACUGAAGUCUGUGUAAAUAAAAGGCCCAGAUAAACUCGG